ACAAUGGUCUGGGAGCUGGUGCGAUCGCUGGGAUUGUGAUUGCAGUAUUGGUUGUUGGUGGAGGCGGGAUCGGAGCUGGAACAGCCUAUUGGAUGAGGAAAAAACGGAACAGGCCGGAAGCCGAACCUGGGACGAAAUACGACGCGAACAGGAGUCCAAGGGGACAGACUGCCUCGGCCACAGAUUCCGAGGACGGACUGGCAACCUAUGAAAAUCUCCCGGGUAAAGAUCAGGGAAUCACUCACGCGCCAGAGGGAGACCCCACAUAUAUGGGUCUGAAGCUGGAUGAUCGAUCGGUUUACAGUGAACUACGGAGG
This is a long non-coding RNA of Amblyraja radiata (thorny skate), 317 nucleotides long. RefSeq lists it as uncharacterized. The transcript is spliced from 5 exons. NCBI's taxonomy places the organism in Eukaryota, Metazoa, Chordata, Chondrichthyes, Rajiformes, Rajidae. The record is from RefSeq and is a predicted model, not a curated record.